GAGCCCAAAUCAAGAAUUAGACUCUUAAACAUAGAGAACAAGCUGAUGGUUGUCAGAGAGGAGGUUGGUGGGGUGAUGGGUAAAAUAGGUGAAGAAGAUUAAGAGUACAUUAUUGUGAUAAGCACUG
Long non-coding RNA from Lynx canadensis (Canada lynx), 127 nucleotides. RefSeq lists it as uncharacterized. The transcript has 3 exons. The record is from RefSeq and is a predicted model, not a curated record. Lineage: Eukaryota; Metazoa; Chordata; Mammalia; Carnivora; Felidae.